This is a non-coding RNA of Arachis ipaensis, 100 nucleotides long. The record is from RefSeq and is a predicted model, not a curated record. Lineage: Eukaryota; Viridiplantae; Streptophyta; Magnoliopsida; Fabales; Fabaceae.
UUAUAUUAAAUUUAUAUGAGCCAAGAACCGUUAAAUGAUAAUUUAGUUAAAUAUAUCAAAUCAUUUAACAAUUCUUAACUAUCAAUUUCACAUGAAGUUA